RNAcentral lists this ribosomal RNA (140 nucleotides) under uncultured eukaryote. RNAcentral describes it as "partial 18S ribosomal RNA". It matches the Rfam family "Eukaryotic small subunit ribosomal RNA", at positions 1299 to 1458 of the family's 1831-position model. The record is from RNAcentral.
UGGUGGAGUGAUUUGUCUGGUUAAUUCCGUUAACGAACGAGACCUCAGCCUGCUAACUAGUCACCCGAACAUCCGUGUUUGGGCCGACUUCUUAGAGGGACUAUCGGCGCUUAGCCGGCUGGAAGCUUGAGGCAAUAACA